GAUGAACGCUGGCGGCGUGCCUAAUACAUGCAAGUCGAGCGAACGGACGAGAAGCUUGCUUCUCUGAUGUUAGCGGCGGACGGGUGAGUAACACGUGGAUAACCUACCUAUAAGACUGGGAUAACUUCGGGAAACCGGAGCUAAUACCGGAUAAUAUUUUGAACCGCAUGGUUCAAAAGUAAAAGACGGUCUUGCUGUCACUUAUAGAUGGAUCCGCGCUGCAUUAGCUAGUUGGUAAGGUAACGGCUUACCAAGGCAACGAUGCAUAGCCGACCUGAGAGGGUGAUCGGCCACACUGGAACUGAGACACGGUCCAGACUCCUACGGGAGGCAGCAGUAGGGAAUCUUCCGCAAUGGGCGAGAGCCUGACGGAGCAACGCCGCGUGAGUGAUGAAGGUCUUCGGAUCGUAAAACUCUGUUAUUAGGGAAGAACAUAUGUGUAAGUAACUGUGCACAUCUUGACGGUACCUAAUCAGAAAGCCACGGCUAACUACGUG
Molecule: ribosomal RNA, 497 nt
Filed under: uncultured bacterium
Lineage: Bacteria
Description: partial 16S ribosomal RNA
Rfam family: Bacterial small subunit ribosomal RNA
Source: RNAcentral